AUUCAAACCCAAUUUAAGUCCAAAUUAAUACGAAUCUAAAUCAAUUAGGGAUUAGGGUUUAAACAUGUUCUAGCAUGUUAGACUCAAAUCCAUUUAGGAUUUUAACCAAAUCCAAUUCAAUUAGAUUCAAGAAGACCUAAUUAAAAAUCCAAGACCAAUUCUUUUUUGUGUGUGACCCAUUGGGUUCUAUAUCUAGUCAGCAGUUAGUCGAGUUCAAGUACACCUAAUCCAAUUA
RNAcentral lists this long non-coding RNA (235 nucleotides) under Elaeis guineensis (African oil palm). Its description in RNAcentral is "long non-coding RNA (EGUI_LNC057207)". The record is from RNAcentral. Lineage: Eukaryota; Viridiplantae; Streptophyta; Magnoliopsida; Arecales; Arecaceae.